RNAcentral lists this ribosomal RNA (701 nucleotides) under Pseudomonas sp. RNAcentral's name for it is "bacterial SSU rRNA". It matches the Rfam family "Bacterial small subunit ribosomal RNA", at positions 75 to 772 of the family's 1533-position model. Lineage: Bacteria; Pseudomonadati; Pseudomonadota; Gammaproteobacteria; Pseudomonadales; Pseudomonadaceae. The record is from RNAcentral.
GGUGCUUGCACCUCUUGAGAGCGGCGGACGGGUGAGUAAAGCCUAGGAAUCUGCCUGGUAGUGGGGGAUAACGCUCGGAAACGGACGCUAAUACCGCAUACGUCCUACGGGAGAAAGCAGGGGACCUUCGGGCCUUGCGCUAUCAGAUGAGCCUAGGUCGGAUUAGCUAGUUGGUGAGGUAAUGGCUCACCAAGGCGACGAUCCGUAACUGGUCUGAGAGGAUGAUCAGUCACACUGGAACUGAGACACGGUCCAGACUCCUACGGGAGGCAGCAGUGGGGAAUAUUGGACAAUGGGCGAAAGCCUGAUCCAGCCAUGCCGCGUGUGUGAAGAAGGUCUUCGGAUUGUAAAGCACUUUAAGUUGGGAGGAAGGGCAUUAACCUAAUACGUUAGUGUUUUGACGUUACCGACAGAAUAAGCACCGGCUAACUCUGUGCCAGCAGCCGCGGUAAUACAGAGGGUGCAAGCGUUAAUCGGAAUUACUGGGCGUAAAGCGCGCGUAGGUGGUUCGUUAAGUUGGAUGUGAAAUCCCCGGGCUCAACCUGGGAACUGCAUUCAAAACUGUCGAGCUAGAGUAUGGUAGAGGGUGGUGGAAUUUCCUGUGUAGCGGUGAAAUGCGUAGAUAUAGGAAGGAACACCAGUGGCGAAGGCGACCACCUGGACUGAUACUGACACUGAGGUGCGAAAGCGUGGGGAGCAAA